GUUAUUUUCUGUAACCCAGCUUGUUGGGUUGAUUGUUUAGGACAGCGCCCCUCCUCUCUCCCACCUGACGUGGAGUACACUACCCAGCACCUGGGUGACUUUAACACAGCUGCAUAGUUAUUUGAGAGUUUGAAAAAACAUCGUUAUUCUUACAACCGUCCAGUCCACCAGUUGUCAGCAUGCAAUGGAAAUCAGGCGAUUUCGUAAGGGGUGAUCCCCAAAACGGACGGUGGAAUCUGCCUGCCUUCAUGGAAGUAUCACAAGCUUUUUCUAGCUAUCUGUU
Long non-coding RNA from Alosa sapidissima (American shad), 283 nucleotides. RefSeq lists it as uncharacterized. The transcript has 2 exons. Lineage: Eukaryota; Metazoa; Chordata; Actinopteri; Clupeiformes; Clupeidae. The record is from RefSeq and is a predicted model, not a curated record.